CUCAGUAACGGCCGAGUGAAGCGGCAACAGCUCAAAUUUAAAAUCUGGCCCCUUUGGGGUCCGAGUUGUAAUUUGCAGAGGAUGCUUCGGCUGCGACCCCGGUCUAAGUUCCUUGGAACAGGACGUCAUAGAGGGUGAGAACCCCGUAUGUGGCCAGGUGUCAACGCCGUGUGAAGCUCCUUCGACGAGUCGAGUUGUUUGGGAAUGCAGCUCUAAAUGGGAGGUAUAUUUCUUCUAAGGCUAAAUACCAGCGAGAGACCGAUAGCGCACAAGUAGAGUGAUCGAAAGAUGAAAAGCACUUUGGAAAGAGAGUUAAAAAGUACGUGAAAUUGUUGAAAGGGAAGCGCUUGCAACUAGAUUUGGACGUGGUUGUUUACCCGGGCUUCCUGCCCUGUGCACUCUUCCGCGUCCAGGCCAGCAUCGGUUUGGGCGGCCAGAUAAAGGCCGUGGGAAUGUAGCUCCUCCCGGGGAGUGUUAUAGCCCACGGUGGAAUGUGGCCAGCCUAGACCGAGGUCCGCGCUUCGGCUAGGAUGCUGGCGUAAUGGUUGUAAGCGGCCCGUCUUGAAACACGGACCAAGGAGUCUAACAUCUAUGCGAGUGUUUGGGUGCGAAACCCAUGCGCGUAAUGAAAGUGAACGGAGGUGGGAGCCCUUACGGGCGCACCAUCGACCGAUCCUGAUGUCUUCGGAUGGAUUUGAGUAAGAGCAUAGCUGUUGGGACCCGAAAGAUGGUGAACUAUUCCCGAAUAGGGUGAAGCCAGAGGAAACUCUGGUGGAGGCUCGCAGCGGUUCUGACGUGCAAAUCGAUCGUCAAAUUUAGGAAUAGGGGCGAAAGGUCAGUCAAUUUUAACAAAUAAACCACAGCGAAGAUAAAAUGC
This 877-nucleotide ribosomal RNA is filed under the name Acrogenospora stellata. Its description in RNAcentral is "Acrogenospora sp. LQ-2022a partial large subunit ribosomal RNA". It matches the Rfam family "Eukaryotic large subunit ribosomal RNA", at positions 79 to 982 of the family's 3401-position model. Lineage: Eukaryota; Fungi; Ascomycota; Dothideomycetes; Minutisphaerales; Acrogenosporaceae. The record is from RNAcentral.